CCUACGGGGUGCUGCAGUUUCGAAUCAUUCACAAUGGGCGAAAGCCUGAUGGUGCGACGCCGCGUGAGGGAUGAAGGUCUUCGGAUUGUAAACCUCUGUCACUGGGGAGAAAACGCUUUGAGUUAAUAGUUCAAAGCCUGAUUUAACCCGGAGAGGAAGCAGUGGCUAACUCUGUGCCAGCAGCCGCGGUAAUACAGAGACUGCAAGCGUUAAUCGGAUUCACUGGGCGCCAAGUGUGUAAGGUCGGCAAUCCCGGGGCUCAACCCCGGAACUGCGCCGUAAACUACAUGGCUAGAGUAUUGGAGAGGGUAGUGGAAUUCACGGUGUAGCAGUGAAAUGCGUAGAUAUCGUGAGGAACACCAGAGGCGAAGGCGACUACCUGGACAAUUACUGACGCUCAGGCACGAAAGCGUGGGGAGCAAAAGGGAUUAGAUACCCCUGUAGUC
Molecule: ribosomal RNA, 446 nt
Filed under: uncultured bacterium
Lineage: Bacteria
Description: partial 16S ribosomal RNA
Rfam family: Bacterial small subunit ribosomal RNA
Source: RNAcentral